RNAcentral lists this long non-coding RNA (23470 nucleotides) under Coffea arabica (coffee). The record is from RNAcentral. Lineage: Eukaryota; Viridiplantae; Streptophyta; Magnoliopsida; Gentianales; Rubiaceae.
GAAUAUCUCAAGCGGAAUGGUUGUUUCGAUUGUAAAGUUGAAACGAGCUGAACAAAUUCCAAUCACUAGGGUUCAAGAGGAGGUUUUUCAAGAUUAGGGUUUUCACUAAUUGAAGAAAGAAAGAGAAAGAAACUGGUAGAAUGGGAGAGGAGAGAGAAAAUAAGUAGAAAUUCAAUGGAAAUCAGAAGGCGAUUGGGAGAUUUACUGAAUUAGGAUUGAAAUAUCGAGCGAUGGGCAUGUACAUACAAGUGCCUGUAUCUAUGUAUGAAAAUGUAUAUUUAGCCUAUUUUUUUGACUGUUUGUAUAGGUCGAUGUAUAGAUAGAGAGAGAGAGAGAGAGAGAGAAGGCUCUGGGGGCUGGGGAGUGGGGGUUGAUGGUUUGACUCUUCUUUCCUUGCUGCUUUUGCAGAUGAUGACGAUGAGCGCUAGGGGGAAAAAAAAUUAAAAUACGAAAACAUAAUAGAAAUGGAGAAAACUUCUUUUUCUUUUUGAAUAUAUAUAUAUACUCUUAAUAUUUCUUGAGUUUUUAGCGGGGAACAAGAAGUGGGAAAUUUUUAAUAUUUGGGAUUACCUCAAAAAUUUAAUUAUCUUUGCUAAAUUUGUUAUCAGAAAAAGGCAAAAUGAAGGCAAUAUGAAUACUCAAAAAAAUGAUAUGUAAAUCAAACAAACCAUUUGCUCCUGCUUUAUAUAUAUAUCUACUUUUUUCAAGAAUAAUUUUCCUCGAUUUUUUUUUUUGUUACUAUCUUACUACAACAUAAUUUAAUAAAUUAUUGAGGUAGGUAACUUUUUGAAGUAACUUAUCACUCUGGAUUUUCUCAUGAAUGAAGUUGAUGAAAUUGGCCUUUUUGCUUGAGGUAAAUGAGAUGUUUCUCUUCUUUUUCUUUUUUUGUUUGUGGGGUGGGGGGAAAGAAAUAAAGGCUGGGACUUUGGACUUGGGAGGGAACUGUUUCAAAACGGCAUUCACUCAGCAAAGCCAACAGCUAUAGCCAUCGUUUUCAAAGCAGCAUCAAUUCUUCAAAUUCAAAUCAUCAGCCAAACCAUUAAAGGUAGCAUAAAAGAAUGGUUUUACCGUUGCUUUUUUCUCUUCCAGCCGUUAUCUUCAGAAUUUUUAAACCACCAGUAUGUUGGCUUCUGUUUCUCCCAAGUCAUGCUUGGUCUCCUUGGAUGACUUGCUACUUUGUCAAGAAAGUUGCUGCAUGUUCAGUGUGAUCAGUGAAUAAUUUCAAAGUUCAGCUAAGAAAAAGACAGAGCAGAUUCUUUUUUUUUUUUUGCUUUUUCUUUUUCUGGAAAGCAAUAUAUGAAAUGCUUUUGUUUUGGAACUCAAGAAUUCUAACAUUUUGAAGUCAGUUCCCGGUAGAUUUAGUUUCAUAAAAAAUGCAUCCUCUCUUCAAGUACUUUUGCCUGAAAUUGAGUUUACAACCUUGACAUCUGCAGCAGCAGUCUAGAUAAAGGGGGAAGACAAGGGAUCAAAUGGAUAGCGUGGGCAAUUCGGAUGAAACUUGUGAUCUGGGAUAUCAACCUUCACAAUCUUCUUUAGAUCAGAAUGAUCAAUCAUCGUCAACCGAAGCCACCAGCUUUUCGUUGCAGAGUGGCUAUUCUUUCUGUAGAACUAACUCAGACGUCUCAGCCUUCUCUGAACCUACAGAUGACAACAGCAGCACCUUUUCGGAGACCCCCUCUCCCUUAUGUUGGCCAGGAAUGAAAUCUCCCAAAACUCCUGUGCUUUCAAAACUAGUAAUGCAGCAACAAAACCCUGCUGCAGAUGAUGAGACAGAGAAUGAAGAUUUAGGUGGGUUCUGCAAGAUUGAUUCUUUUCCGUCCCUUUUCUUUUUGGUUUCCCUAGUUUCCUAACUGCGUUCGAAAUACUUGUAGAGCUUGACAUGAUGAAGGAAAGAUUUUCGAAGCUGCUAUUAGGCCAAGACAUGUCCGGAAGUGGGAAAGGUGUCAGCACUGCUGUGGCAGUAUCAAAUUCCAUAACAAAUCUUUAUGGUACUGCUAUGUUAAACGCUCCUGUAGUUGGGCCAGAUUGACUUCUAUUACUUCAAUUCUGAUGCAUGUUUUAUUUUUCUGAUCUAGUAUCUCAAUUUUGUUUACACCGUGCAGCUUCUAUAUUUGGUCAACAUCUACGAUUAGAACCAUUACAUCCUGAUAAGAAAUUGAUGUGGAAGAGAGAAAUGAAUUGCUUUUUAUCCAUCUGUGACCACAUAGUAGAAUUUGUCCCAGCAUUACAUGAUUUACAAGAUGGGACUGCUGUUGAGGUGACGACUCUGUUCUUUUAGUUUUUAUUUUUUGUUUCAUUUAUUUAUUUUUGGUAUUGGUUACUGGGCAAAGGUUAGGCAGAACAGGGGCUGAUGAUCUUUGUUCCUCCAGGCUAGUAUAGGCAUUGAAGGUUGGCACUACCAUUACCAUUAGGCCAAGACCUUUGGCCUCAAUAAUGUCAUCUAUGGAUUCCCCUCUUUUACGCUAACCAAUAUGGUUCUUUGCAUGUUUAAUUAAUUAACAUGAUGGGUAUAUGAUCAACUUUCAGGUGAUGACUAGUAGACCGAGGUCAGACAUCAGCGUCAACCUUCCUGCACUGAGAAAACUUGAUGCAUUGCUCCUGGUAAAGACUGCUACUGUCUGUCUGCUGUUAUAAUCAACAUUGAUCUUUGAAAAAUGACCCAAAUUUUCUGUUUUGUGUCAAAUCUGAUAGCUGAAUUCAUAUUGCGUGACAGGAAGUAUUGGACAGCUUUGAGGAAACUGAAUUUUGGUAUGCUGAACAGGGAAGCAUGUCAGGAAAGUCACGGUCAGGGUCAUUUAGGAGGAUUCCUGCUCCUCAGCGCAAAGAAGAAAAAUGGUGGCUACCAGUCCCAUGUGUUCCUUCUGGUGGCCUCUCUGAGAAGUCAAGGAAGCACCUGCGCCACAAGCGUGAUUGUGCCAACCAAAUACACAAAGCUGCCAAGGCUCUUAAUAAUAGCAUUCUUGCUGAAAUGGAGAUCCCUGAUUCCUACAUGGCAUCACUUCCUAAGGUAGUCAUAUUAUAAAUCAGAUGAAGCUACUGCAAUUCUUUAACGGUAAUAUGACAAUAAAAGUCAGCUGUCUAACUGUAUUUUCUGUGUAUCAAUGCCCUACUCAGAGUGGAAGAGCAAUUGUUGGAGAUGCAGUGUACCGCUAUAUGUGCAAUGGGGAGAAAUUUACACCUGACUUGCUUCUGAACUGCCUUAAUCUGGGCUCUGAACAUGAAGCACUCGAGUUCGCAGAUAAGAUUGAAGCUUCAAUGUACACAUGGAGGCGUAAAGCAUGCAGCAUGACACACUCGAAAUCAUCAUGGGACCUGGUUAAAGACUUCAUGUCUGAUAUCGAUCGGACGGACAAGAAUCAUAUCCUAGCAGAACGAGCUGAGAGUCUGUUGUUCUGCUUAAAGCAAAGAUAUCCUGAGCUUUCCCAAACAUCAUUGGACGCAAGCAAGAUUCAGCACAACAGAGUAUGUAUCUCCAAAAUCCACAUUUGUCCUUCCCAAAACAUUAUACCAGUUUCUUGUUUUUUAUAAUGAUCUUGUUUACAUUCAGGAUGUAGGGAAAGCUAUCCUGGAGAGUUACUCUAGAGUAUUGGAAGGUUUGGCCUUCAACGUCGUUGCUUGGAUUGAGGAUGUCCUAUUUGUGGACAAAACUACACGAAACCAAGAUCAGUAGGAUCAUAUUGACGGGGUGUUAUCAAAAGCCGAACUCAGUUUCUGUCAAGCUGCACAUUUGCAAACAGCAAGAAAGGAUCUUUUUGACUGACAGCUACAAUAGGAGAAAAUCAGUUCAUUACAUCAAUAACUAGCUAGUAAUGCUAAGAUGUCAAUCACUCUUAAAUGCAGUCUCGAUUCUGAUUUAUGACCCAAGAUUUAUUACCAAUCCCAGCAGUCUAUGAUUUGUGCUCUUCAGAAUUUACUUUCAUUUUGUGAUUAUACUGCUACGACUUUAGGGAAUGGAACUCGCUAGCUAAUUAGAUAUCCUCUAAAAUGAGGAUGGCAGAAAGAAGCAAAAACCAUUUGGAUAAGACAAUGAAAAUGUUCAUUGCCAUUUUUAAGAUACUUGGACCAAUUGGAACAAUGCUUAUUUCUGUGAAGGCCAUAAGGCAGUUCCUCUCUUUGAUUCGACAUUCGAGGAGAAAAAUUUACAGCAAAAGCAUUCAAGUUGCUCUUAAGUAUCACCCUCCAACCAAGCAGAUUGAGCAGUUGAGCUGCUUCUUCCCUUGUCCUCUUUACCCAGAAGAAAAGAUGAUUUUGUUCCAUAAUCCACAGUAAAACAGUGGAUCAACUAUGUUACUGACAGCAAUCUACAGCCCUCACAACUGGCCCUAUAAGAAAAAUAAAGGGUGGAGAGUAUUUGCCUCUCAAUUAAGUAUCAUUUGAAGUCCUGUCUUAGCCUAAACCUGUAUUACCAGAACAAAAACAUACCUCAAGUCUCCGGAGUACAGUGCUGGACUGCCGGGAGGACGAAACAAUUCUCUCUUAAUUUCCUUAAGUGAAAAUCAGUACAUACUAAAGGCCAACGGCAAUGUCUAUGUAUAUUACCAAAUCCAGCACAAACUGACCAGUCCUAGACAAAAGAUACUGAGACAUUUCUCCUCUGAUACGUGCAUCAGACAAUUAGGCACUUUAGAAAAUAAUAACUGGCCAACAAGGCACAGGACAAGCGUGUGUAAGAAAUACAUGAUGCGUUCGUUUGAGGUGCCCAAAAGGGGCUUUGGAUGGUAGCAAAGGAUGGAUAUUUGCUCUUGGUGGUGACAACCCGUCACUGCAUUUUGCUCCACUGCUGCAUACAUUAUUUUUGCAGGCAUUGUUCACAUAGAAGCUUAUACUAAGAUUAGAUUAUAAGCAUCUUGACAGACUUUUGCGUCUUUCUUUGGAAUUCGAACAAAACAAGUAGUCACACUCUUCAUAAAUAUAAUGACCGAGACCAUACACAUCUAUGCAUUUCAUUAAAAAUAUGAAAGUCUCUGGUGUUAUUUUUGAAGAAUUUUAUGCCUUUUUGUGCUUGGUGAAGUUUGGACAAGCCAUGACAAGCACAAUAGCGGAAGUCUGGCAGAGUUCAAAGUACCACAGUUUAUACCAUAGGCCAUUGCUGUACAAGUCCGAUAAUGCUCUAGGCAGUUAAUUGGAAGUUAUUAAUGACAAAUGUGGACAAAUAAUAACUGAGUAUCACUCAGAUAUGAAAGCUUCAAGCACGAGCGUAAGAUACCAGUUAGGUUCUUAACGUAAAUUGGAGAUCUCAAACUCAAGAUCUAUUACCUAUAUUCCCUCCCCCGUACCACCCAACCCAUCCCUUCCUCUAUUGAGCUUCUCAGUUGUUUACUACCUCUUUAACUCAAAUCAGAUGCAUUUGUUUUUGUCCCUUUGGGGUCAUCCAAUAAAAUUGGAACGAUAUAGAGAAGAUUAGCGUGGCCCCUGCACAAGGAUGACUCGCACAGAAGCAUUUGUUUGCUCUAAUAUUAAGUUUUUCAACAGCUGGGGUGUUGCGACGCCUUGGGGAAUACAUAAGCCCUUUUAUAAUCUGUACGUUGUUGCAUGGAUUUCUCAAAUCUAAGGCUUAUCUAUGUAACUAAUUACAUUGUAAGAGCUGAGACAACUUUACAACUGAAGCGUGAAAUUGCCAAAUCAUAGCAAAUCCAUGCUACUUAAGGGUACAUAUCCGCAUACAGCAGAUCUUGCAACAAGACAGAGUAGCACAACCAAAUGCAUAAAGAGAAGACCAAAAGUAAAGCAACCAUAAUGUUGAGGCCUGUUUAAGGGUAUCGAAGAAUCAAAGGAGAAAAGACAAAAGUAAAGAAAACAAGAGAUCCCAAAACAACUAGACUUUGAUCCGCCAUGUACGAAUGGAAAUUUUCAAAAAUAUGUUUGUAUUAGCCUGUUUGGACAGAAGAACAUACUGAAAAUUUCGAAUCCCCCCUUUUCUCCUCUUUGUAAGAUCAGAGUCUCUCUUGAACCAAAAAAAAAUUAUAAUCCAAGAGAAAAAGUUAAGAGCUGGAGAGCUGGUCAAAGAUGUACCGCUCAAUUAUUCAUUUAGGAUGGAGAAGCCUAAAACCACGACUUUAAAAAGUAAUACAGAUGAUGGCGAAUCAAGUCGUUCCACCAAUCAGAGUCCCUUCUGCUCCAAAGUAAACAGGACAUAAACGCAAGUAAACAGCAAUAGAGAGGAACCAGCACAUUUGACCUGGCUUGAGCAGCCGGUCGGAGAAUAGACCUUAAGAAAAACUAGCCAAAAUUGUUAAGACAAUUGUGUAUCAAUACGUCUAGUUUGUGAUGCCAGGCUGUUACAAAUCCUAAACUAAAGAAGUCUUUGUUACAAAUAUGCGCUAAUACCUGUUCGCAUGUAAAAACUAGGAAAUCGGAAAGUAAACCCGAAACUUUUGUUACUUGGCCAGGCUUCAUGCAAAAUCUGCAAAAUCAGAAACAAGUAGCAUUUUUACGAAAAAUGACAGGCAAAGCAUGAGAGAGAGAAUAGAUAAGCUACAACAUUCUUAAGAUACUUUACUCAAUUUGCAAGAUGUAACAACAAGCGCUGAGCAUGAAAGAGCAGAAAAUCAUUUCUGAGACAUUCUACUCAUCCCAAAAGGGGGAAAUAGUUAUCCCUAUAUGUACAACAACUUCUGAACUGCGCCAAGAAUUGUGCUGUCCAGAAGGGGGUGAUCAAAGGGUUAGUUGUCAAUCAGGGCUGCGAGGUAAAAUGGACAGGCCGCCAAAGAAUGUCGUCCAUGACUCCACGUGACCCAGUCAGAACCCCGUGCACCCAAAAAGAAUGUGCCUUUAAGCAGAUGCCUUUGCUGCCAAAGGCAAUUAGAGCGACCCCGAUGGCCACUUUCCCGUCACGGAUGAGCGAGGACGCUUUCCUGCUGGGUGCUCCCUUUGUAUGUAAAUUCAAAAUUGAAGUACUACUCAUAUCAGCUGUCCUCAUCUAUUGCACCAAUGUAGGCGAGGUCAGUCCUCCUCACCCUAAUGGCCCCCUUGAGCCAGUUUGAUGCUCUCAAAUUAGCAUGGUCACUACCACCAAUAGCAGCAGAGUUGCUCGAAGAUUGCACACCCGUUCCAUCCUCCAAUAGGGUCCAAGGGUCAAUUUCCAAGUCCAGAUCUUGCAGUGGCAGUUGCUUAGCCUUCCCUGCCAUAUUAGCGACAGUUCGAACCAAAGAAACUGGAUUUCUCUGGGAUAGGAUUGAAUUGUGAGGCUGUAAAACUGAUAUCUGAUUGCUGGACUGGAGAGCAGCAAUCGAAGCCGGUGAUAUAGAUGGAGGUUGACAAGAGAUUGAGCACCGAACAGAUGGAAGAAGAAUUGGCAUUGCAGUUUGAAUUCGCCACCGGAUAUGGUCCGGCAUAUGCAUGCGGUUCAGAUCAUUCUGCAUUGAUUAAAAUUGUCAGAAAGCAAAAAUACAAGUAUCCUUGAUAAUUCUCCACUUACUAUCACAUUUUUCAAAGUCCAUACCCUAGAGUCAAUUUAGCCUUCAAAAAUAAAAGAAAUUGACGUGUCAACCAUGGAGCAGAAGUCCACGAGAAUAUGAUGUUCAAACCAAAAAAUUUGAAACUUCAAUACAUUAAUCGCAAGGACUGAGAACUUUCCAUUUUUUGGAAGAAAAGCAUAAGCAUUUGUGGUGUAAAUGUAGUCCUCAUAAACAGCGUGCAUCGAUGAUGCAGCUUAUAAAAAUGGAAUAGUACUGAAUGAACUAAAGAACUCCUCAAUAAAAAGCUAAUCACAACUCAUAUAUUAUGCCAAAGCAAUUUGAAAAGGAGGUCCUUUGACAUGCAUUCCCCUCAGAUCAUGUUAUAACAUUUUGAACAUGAAGCAAAACGCAAAUCUGAUAAUGGAUUGCUUAUCUUGUACAAGUACUCCAUCAGAUAAAUCUUCUGGUUUUCUGUGUUUAUCUAAUAUAUGUGUUUUUGGGACUAAUACUUUUGCAAUAAAAGGUAAAUACAAAAGAAAAUCAAAUAAUAAGCUGCGUCCAGUAAAUGAAUUUCAGAUUGUAUGCAGUCAACCAAACCUGCAGAUUCUCCGCCACCUCACGACCAAAAACACUAAAGUCCUUGCCGCACUCGGAGGCGGACUUGGAGUUAGAUUUCAACUUCAGCCAGCUAGGUCGAUAGCUGCUCAGCAGUCCAUGUAGCAGCAAUAACAAACAAUCGAAAAGACUUUCCCCAGAUAAAAGUACAGAUGUAGCAGAAGCCUCUGUAAGCGACUCGACAUCUCUCUUGGAUAAAUUCAAAGUUGAACUUGUGGUAUGGCCUGCAGCUUCAUGGACAACUCUACAUCCUAGAAGGCGUAAUAUAACCGCAGCAAGCAUCUGUCUCAUACUCUUUCCUGGCUCCCUGACAAGUCCAAAAUGAAGCUUAUAUUAACAAUAAGCAAUAUAGCUAGAGAUGAUUAGUUUCAUCACAGACAUGGAUGCAUUCAGCAUAACCAAGAUAUAUGGUAAAUCAACGCACUCAACAUUAAAGAAUGGGGGACAUAGUACAUGCACAAGUUAUUGGCAGAAAAAAUCCUUCCUAGAGUUAGAAAACUUGCACAAUACCUUCUACCAUUGACCAGUAAUUGAAAUUUCCCUUCCAUAAACUGUCCUUUAUCCAUGUGACAUAUUAACUUCAUCAUCAAUCAAAACUAUUUUUAACCUUAAAGUUUCAAAUAAAUAACGCCCUGGCAUUUGCUUCAUAUUAGUAAAAUCUGGGUAGGAGAACAUGCAUGGAAAGAUUCCGUCUUAAACAAAAUUCAGCUGGAGCAUGCAAAAGCAAUUCAGGACUUUUAUAUUGAGAAUGGUCUCCAAGAAGGGGUAAUAUGCCCUCAUGAACAAAUUGUGUAAUCAGUUUACAGAAUUACCCAUCCGUGCACAUAGUAGGAAGUAGUCUUAGGAGAAACUGCAAGCGCAAUGACAUGGAAGCUCGCAACCCCGCUGGGGAAGAUGGUACUCCAUCAGCUGGUCCCGCAGGUCGUCUGGAAUUGGAUAAUCCAGGACUCCCACCUCUCAUACCUUUUCGGCUAUUGCCCUUGCUUGCUGGGCUUUCUGCUCCAGAUGCAACUGAUCCAACAGAUUUAGCUGCUCCAUGAGAAAGUACAUUUAUCUGCUGCUCAAUGUUAUUCAUCUGUUUGAUCAUGUCAUUUGCAAAGGUGUUUCUUGAGGCAUCAGAGCCUUGAUCCACACAAGGCAGAACUAAUUCAAUAAAUGCUCUCUCUGUCACAUGCUGCUGACUCACCAAGAAACCUUCAACAUCCACAACUUGAGUGGAUCCUCUUCCAGGAAAUCUCACAUCUGAACCUUCAUCAACCACCUCACCUUCUUCAAGAGAGGCGACUUCAAACUUCCUCUUGCUUCCCCUUGUUUUCCGCGAAUCAGAGUUUGAAUCACACCACCCCCAUGGCUUCCAGAACUGCAGUUUAGUUGAUAGAUGUUCUUUUUCAGCAUUAAUGAUAAGCCGUUGCCGAAUUGAUUUCCUUCCAUAAAGAACAUCAGUGCCUCCAAGAAGCCAUUUAGUUUGCAUUAGCAUUUGGUCCUCAAGUGACCUUCCAAAAAGGUGCACAACCUCAGAAAAGAGUGAAGCAGCAUCUGGUCUGGCAAGUAACCUCAUUACAACGAGUUCAACAAAGCUGCUCUCUUUCUCAGAAACUGCAACCUUGUCAGCAUUCGGUGAAACUGAUUUAAUAGCCUCCGCCAAAGGGGCUUCAUUUUUCAGUUUAUCAAUGACUGUUUGUUCAUUCAAAAGAAGCCUAAGCUCAACCCACUGCCAGUGAAAUUUUGCAGGUUGUAAUGUAUCCAAAACAUGCACAAGCUUAUCUCUGAAAUUUGCAUCCUUCUCCUGAUAAUAGUUCUUUAGGCCACCUUGCCCUUGCAUCCUAUUAACGUCCUCUGGUUUAAGCAAUGACUGUGGCAUUCUACAGUCAAUAAGGGCAUUUAAGAAAAGCCGUGCCCUGAGAGGAACAAAGGCCAUGGAUUUGUAAAGAACGUCUGCACUAUGUGAUUCCAGUAAGGCUGCAAACUCAGAAUCAAUGGCAUCUGCAGCUAUGAGAUCAUAAAGGCCAUGAGUGUCUCGCAGACACACAUCACGGAACGGAAGGUGCUUUAAUGCAUCACCUAUCGCCAAUGCUAAGGACUGAUACAAUUGUUGGAGGUCAUCACGCAAGCCAACACCAGUAUUAAAAAUUAAUCCUUUCCAUAUGACAAAUGCAAAUAUAGAAUAGGCAGGCGGAAAGACCAAGUUCAGAGGAAGUGUUCUCUGCAUUCUAGAGAGACCUACAACUGACGCUUCACCCAAGAGCUCCACAAUAAAUCCAUCAGAAACAGUUCUGCAAUUACCUACAAGCACUCGAAACCAGUGGGUGGAAACUUCAACCAAAUUAUCCAGCUUCAGAGCCCCAAUGGAACGAGCACUCCCGUUUGAGUUGGAUUUCAAACUCCUGAAAAAGUGAAUUGGAUCAAGCCCUUCCCUUAAUCUGAAGAGAGUAACCAUUCUCUCAAGGCUAGUAACUCCCUGAAGAAGUGCCCCAACAAGAAGUGCAGAAAUUGCUCCAGCAAUUUUUGCCCCUCGUCCAAGUACACUUUUAACAGAACUAUUCAAGGCUUCAUAGGAGUUUGAACUAGAAUCAUGGGAUUCAGGAGAUGGAUGAAAUUGAGUGCGAGGAGCCUUUCCUGGCACAAACACUUGAGCAAGGGCAGUAGAAGCUUCAACUGCAAGAGCAACCUCAAAGACACGACUCUGACGCUCACCAAGUGCAUCCUUCAGCAGGCACAAGCAAGUUGUAUGGAUGCGUAAAAUGCGUCGAGCAAAAUGCAUUGAACUGGAUGUGGACUGGAAAUUUAGGUGAUUGCCAGCAGUUAAGUCAGGAAUUUUAGCAAUAACCAGUCCAACAUUACUGACAAUUGCAGAAAUAGCAGAGGAUACCAAAGUAGGAUCACCUUCCUGAGCAGCACCACCAGUUUGCCUCAUGCACUCCAUUAAUCCCAUUACUAUUUGUUGAGCUAUUUGAUAACCAUCAUCCAAGUUUUCCAAGACAGGGCUUUUUACUGUACCAGGCCCAAAAAGCUUUCUUUCUUUGCCACAAAAGUAUUGAAAAACUUCAACAACUUGCCUUUGUACUAUAUCUCUCAUUGUCAAAGCAACUCUGGACACCCGUACACCACUUAUCUUGUGACGGAAAAAAUCAUCAAGAUCUUCAACUCCUGCAGGAACUCCAAGUGGGAAGCCAAACUCCGCAUCAGGCAAUCUUCCAGAUUCAAGCUCAGAAAUGAGUCUUUUAUCAUAAGAUGAUUUAAGGUUUUUCUCCCAAUCAACAACACUAGCCACGUUUCCGUACUUCUUCACCAAAUUUCUUGCAUAAACCAAAGCUGAAGAACCUGAAACCCUUCCGGUAGAGGCCAUUGUGGCUGCAACUCGAUGCAUUGCAGCUUUCAAGGUUUCAGGAACAAGAUCUGCGGCUACGAUUAUAUUUUCAUACCUAAAACAGAACAGUAUAAAUAGUUCACUUCAUCACCCUCACGCAUUAUAUAUCUUCAUUGAAAGAUGUAUACCAACCAGAAACUCAAGUUUUAUCAUAGUUUUGAGAAAGGAUGGACUUUAUUAUCUAUAAAUCAGAACUAUGAAAUUUGGUAUUGGAAGCAGACAAUGCAACAGGGAGUACAAUGCUUGAGCUUAUAUUCAAUGGCUUCAAAUGUCAAAUGCUUCCACAAAAUAAAAAGAAUAAAAAUCACCAAAGUUUUAAGAAAAAAUACUACUACCCAGGUCUUAAGAAUUAUUUAUCACAUGAAGAUGUCCUGAUAUAUUUUAACACCAAAUGAAGCCACAGUUAAAACUUUUCGCAAGAGCAAACUUAGACAUCACAAUCUCCAACAACUUUCUCAUUCCCUAAAAUCAACUUCAAAGUUUUCAUAUGCUUUCUAAACCACUAAAUCCAAAAAUCAAGAUGAAAAUGGAAAAAUGUAGGGCCCAAUAACACAAACUGUCUCAGGGAAUCUAAUAUAUAUGUUCAAUAUGAAAACAAAAGUUUUUCAAAUUUUGUCACAAAUAGAGAGAUCCUGCCAAAACAUGAUUCAAAAGAGAGGCGUGUUGGAAAAUGCAUGGAUAGUUGUUUGUACAUAAGUAGAAGCUGCAGUAGUCCAGAAGGAGAAGCAGAAAAGCACAAAGCAUAGACAACAACUCGUCAAAGAAAUGCAAUUCAAAAUCAAUAUCAACUAACAAUCUACAGUAACAAAACCUUCAUAACCCAAAUUCUGUUUGAAAAUACUUGAAUGGCUAGUUUGAGAGUUUAUGAUAUAAAAAAGGAGUUUGGGGGGGACCUAAUGUAUCAGAGAAAAGAAAAGAAGAGAAGAGAUCAUAAUGUUGUUUGGGGAUUUAAGAAAGAAAUGGAAUGAUUUUGGAUACACAUGUCAUUAAAAUUUUGUUUAGUAGUCAUCCAAGGACAGAACUGAUCCUUUAAAAGAUUUACAAGGCUUUCCCCAACUUUCCAUCCAAAUCAGCCCAUAAAUGGGUGGAAAAAUUUUUAAACUGUACCAAAAAAAUUCAUCCGUCUCAAUCCAGCUAAAUCCGUUCUUUUCUGUCUUUGAAGAAACUGGCAAGUGAAUGAAAAGUUUCCAUUUCUCUCACUUUCUUUUCUUCUCUCAUCCAAUCCUACCUCACAAAACAAACUGUAAACGAGAGGCCCAUUUGGAUUGGGUGUUCUUUGGGGUGUUACUAUAAACCUUUACUGUUAAUAACGUUACUUAAAAACAUACUGGAAUAGGUGUUGUUAGGGAGUUUUUUAAGGUGUUUUAUGCACCGCCAGAUCCCAUCUCCACAACCCUGCCACCUCCCCCUUCUCCGCUUCCUCCUCCCUCCUCCCUACCUGCAAAACUCGUCCUCCCCCUGGCCCUCCCCUCCCCCUUCCCCCACCCCAACAAAACAAAAACUGCCUCCUGCCCCUCCCCGUUCUCACCUCCCCUCCCCAGCAACCACUACCAGACCAGAUCUGGUCAUUAAAGAAGCAGGCCUGAAGGAAGGGGAUACCCCCCCCCGGGGUGGGGUGGGGGUGGAAGAAAGGGGAAGGGUAGCAGUGGGUGGCAGGGGUUGGUGGCAGACAGAUAAUGGGUGAUGAGUGUGUGCAAGUGUCACUCUUUGGGUUAUUUUUUGUGCAUUUUUUAGUUUUUUUUUUAAGUGUCUUUUGGGGGUAUUACUGUUGGUUCUUUUUUUUCUUUUAAUCUUGUUUGGGGGUAUUCUGAAAUAUGCUAAUGUAAAAGGUUAGUUAAUCACAUUAUCCAAAUCCCUUCAGAAAUGGUAACUCAUAAGUAGUUUAUCUAUCUAGGACCAGAAAGAAAAUUUUGUGAAAAAGUCAAAUUAUUAGAUGGUGCAAAGUGGUCAAUGUCACAACGUUGUCCAAGACCUUCACUACUAUAGGUCAAUAAAGAAGAAUCAAGCUAACAAUAAAGCCUACUAGGAAACAGCCCUAACAACUUGAGAGACCUUGAUAAAUUUUAAUAGAAACAAAGACCGAUGUCUAAUUUUAACUUUAUUUGGGAAAAUGAAAAGUUCAAGUGGUGCCUCUGUAGUUGGAUUUUCAACCUUUGAACCAUCCUUGAGUAAUAGAUUGAAGAUAAUUUUAUCAGAAGUGAGUAUACCCAAGGAUACUGGAUAGUUAAGAACCAGGGGCUUCACAAAUUAGGUAGGAACCUGUUAGGUUAUUUACACAAUCACAAAAACCACACAGGGUCACUUGACUAGUAUAAACACUGCAAACCAUUUUCUAGAAGGUAAGGAUAGGGAAAUCUAAUGAUAUUCAAACAUAAAACACUAAUGCAGGAGGCAAUAUAGCAAGCAAUGCACACAAAAAAUCACAACAGUCAGCAAAAUAAUUCAAAGCCAAGCUGACAAAAUGACUUGAGAAAACCAAGAGCACACCUCCUAAUAGAUGAUACAAGAAAUGCCUCCCCGACUUCACAAACAACAUUCUCCGUAUUUCUUGGAAGCAUUAAGAUGUUCCGACCAGCGUGGAUGGAAGCAGCAGGGCUGCUAAGAGCUUUUGGCAGCAACCAGAGAAGAAACCUGGCAGCAGAUACUAAUUCAUUAGAAACAUCCAUCAGAUACAAAAUCAUAGAUAAUUCAUCUUCACCAAGCUUCCAUCGCACAGAGUUUGCAUCAUCAACAGCAGAAUAUGGUCUGCCAUAUUGACCAACUUUUGCUGCAGUCUUUUCAGCUUCUUCAACAAGAUGCUUUACAACACUUAUCAACCAUAACAUCACAGUUCUCUUCUCCACAAGUCGCAUCUUUUUCAGAACUUUUCCAAUUGAAACAAUGUCACUACCAUAUGCCAUUCUGAUCCCAUCCCCAGAUUUUGGAGCAUCACCUUCAACACCAGUUCUAUGGUGUGGGCAGUUCACCCUAUUAUCACAAACAUGACUUGUGGAAGCCCCUUGGCUACCUUCAAUUCUAGCAGCUGCUAACUGUGCAAGGCUUUGUGUUUUACGAACACCCUUUUGCCUCCCCCUUCCAGAUUGCUUGGCUUGCUUAGGAGGUGGAUCCAUUUUGUCGAGAGACUUCGGGCCCCUCCUCAGCCACCAUAUAUCUUCAUCAUCCAAUGCAUUGGAUAAAAAUCCCUGUGGGUAUGAGCUCCUAUCUUCACUCAACUUUUGUCUCUUCACCCUUCUACACUCUUCACAUCCAGGUGUUCCUUCACCAAUAUCGAUCUUGGUAAUAGAAGAUCCCGUAGAUCUCUUAAAACCCCCAACAAAAUUUUCUAGUCCACUGUCACUUGACAGUGAUGAACUAGGAAGCUGCAGCAACAUUACUAUUGAAGCCUUUAGAUCUUCAAGCUCAACAACUUGAUCAACAUUUUUGGUAGUUAAACUGGAUAUCCCCUGAAGAGAUCUCCACUGAUCAACAGAAGAAGGAGAUGCACUGCCACCUCCUGAGUUAUAAUAAUGCUUUUGUUUCUGCCAAGAGCUGCCAGAACUCUUAUGGCAAUCAAGCAGGCCACGAAGUACCAAGCGACGCUCAUUUGCAUAUGUAUUAAUCACCUCCAAAAGCAUUGCUCCUUCAAGAACCUGUGCUUCUUCGAGAGCAUCAUGUACAUAGGAACUAGGAAGCUGCUUCAAAAUUCUAUGAUGUCUCUUCCGUCUCUCCAGGUCAACUGAAAUCCCAUUCCCAUCCAUGAUUCCACUAACAAUUAAUUGCCUCACAUAUGCCUGGGGAUAGAAGAUACCAGCCCUCACAAGUUCCAUUAUGAGUAGUUGAAGCCGCUUGACGCCUUCUCCACUGUGUACUUCAUGUUGAUCAAUCCAGCAGACAAUAAUGUCAUGUAAAGGGCUCGGGCUUUCAAAAAUAUUUGACAAAUUUCUAGUUUUCCCACUCUUUAAACUGUAUUUAUUUUGUUCACAAGCAUUGCCAACAGGAAACCUGCCUGGAUAAUUAUUCUGCAAAUCAGGAUCUUUGGCUAGAGUAUCAGGAGCAAGGCUACUCUCGUUCUUGCCCUGAGACAAGCUUUGCAUCUCUCUCCUCUUGAGCUGCAAAAUCCGUAUAGCAAUAUAUAUCUGAGAGAGGUCUUUUUUCCCAGUGAACUUCUGGCCUGAUGGUGGGCCAGUGCGAAAAUCCCUAAAAUCACAAGUUGCCCACUCACAAAUGAAAAAGAUAGAGGAAAUAAAUGACAAGGUCACUGCUCCAAUAUACUUGAGCGAUGACCGUAGACACAAACUCACUUCAGCAAUCCAACGUUCAUCAACAGCUCCAUCACAAAGAUUUUCAAAAAGAAGUUUAUAUGCCACUGACACAUCUCCGUGAAUAAGAGAUUUAUCUAAUGCCAGUAAAGCUUUAGCUACAUUUUGACUUGGAUGUCCCGGUCUGGCAGCCUUUGCAAGGUUUUCUGCACGUUUCUGAAUAGAUGAAACAAUACAGUUUAUGGUCAAAGAGUCAGGGUGAACCUCAACACCCUUGUCUCUCUGCAAGCAGGCUACUUCAAGGGGACCAGUUUUCAUGUUGCUUUCAUCUUCAGCUAUCUUCAACAAAAAACUCCCAUCAUUGACCACAUUAGUUACCAAACACAAUGGUAAGGGAAAGCAAUCCAAAGCAACAAAAGUAUCAGGAACAGCAAUUAUCAAAUAAUGAAGCAUCUCAACAAGAGCAGACAUGGUAUAAGCCCUUCGGGAAUUAUCUACAAGAUCAGACCCACCAGGAGAAGGUUCUUGAAUAAAACGCAUAGCUAUGCCAACCAGAGUUCGCACGUAGGUCUGACAUAAUACGACGGCUUCGAUUACACCAUAUAUUACAGGCAGUAACAACUGCAAAAUCCCAAGACGCUCUUUUUCCUGGGAAGGCAAAAAAAUGAAAUUACCAACAAAAGUAUUACCAGUUGAUGAAUUUAAUCAAAGUACAAAAUAUUCAAAAUCAUAUGUAGAAUACCUGCAGUUGAUUAAAAACCCAAUCAAUAAUGAGAGAUGGAACAAUCAGUCCUUCUGCAUGGUGCCAUUGUAAGAGCCUAACCACAUACCACCACUUAAAAUGCAAAGAAGGCUCAUCAGCAUCAGUAGAAGUAGAAGCAGCAUCAUUUCGAUGUUGUAGGGUCCCAGGAUAAACCAUUUGUGGUGAUCGAUCCCUAAUAUGCAGAGUGGAAUGAAAAUUAUUUUUCGAAACAAACUCAUCCAAGAGCGCCUGGAGGUAAUCUAUGAUAUCUUUUGUCCACUGCUCUGAUCGGGAAAACUGCGUUUUGUCAGGCACACCACCAGACAAAUUGGAAGAGCCAGGCCGUACCUGCAAGGUUAAACCAUAAUCUGCUAAGUUCAACAGUAUAUAAUAAAAAAAUAAUAAUUCCAUAACAAUAUUGCAUGGAGGGAUACUCAAUACCUGAUUAAGAUAAGUCACUUUCACAAACCAAGUAGCUCUGAGUAGUGGAACAUUAUUCCUAAUGAGAACUUCAAGAAGAGAUUUCCUCCGGUAACCAUGAGGAACAUGAUCAGCCAAAGAACACAAUCUUUUAUGCGGUUGAGAUAAUCCCUGGGAAAAUGUUCAAAUAAUGAGCUAGCAGACACUAGGGUUACAAAAGAAAAGAGCUUUAACACAAGAAACUCAUGCAUCUGCAUAGGAUAUACAGUUGCUCAAGUUAGAGUUUUAACCUCAAAAACAUGCCAAUGAAUAGCGUAUUUUGUUUACUAGUCAAGUAAAUCCCUUCCCCUUCUGUAUAACCCUACAGGUCACCCCAAAGCUUCAUUAUGCAUUUCAUCUUCUCCAUAGGGAAUGAAAUAUGGAGGAAGCAUUUAACAGUGGCAACAGAUGUAUCAAAGCAGGUCUCCAGGACCGUUCAAAUAUGGACCUAAGUACACUAGAAAGGCCUAAACAUGGCUUUUGGACACAAGACUCUACAUAUCCUUUACAGUCAGUUUCAAUGUUGCCCUUGCAAAUGCAUAUCCAAUUUUUCAAUGUAAAAAAUACUACAAUCAUAUAUUUUCCAAAUGUAUAUCAUAUUUUACUCAUGUAACACUACCUUUUUUUAGUGUGCAUCUGUGUGUGUUUUAUAGUUUAUAAACAACAUGUCCACCAUCUACUUUUACAACAGACACAGGAGGAUAAUUAAAGACAACAAUGGGAAUGAAUCUUUUGUCACUGUGGUAUCAUCCACAUAAGGAACUAACAUUCAACCAAAAUGUUAGUAGCUAAGCUCUUUUCAAAAGUUUUAAAAUUGUCUGUGCCUCCUUCAGUCCUUGAUUGAUUUAUUAAGCUCAUUUUCAAUAAAUUCCCAGUGGUUCUGCUUAUAACAAUGGGAUAGCCAUCAUGAAUUAAAACUUUAAACUUGGAGGGUUUGCACCCAAUAUUCUUUUCAUUCAAUAUACAAAAAUUCAGGUUAUUCAAUCCCCUAAAAUAGCAAGCCAAUGAGCAACACUGAUUUUGUGGUACGACCAUAUACCCUAUAGGAUCUGAGUGACAGGCAUAAAUAGAAGAACUUCCAACAUGUUUCAGGUUUGCAUAGAAUAAAAACACAAGUGUCGGCCCUGUUUACAUCCAUAUAAACAACUAACAUGCAUAGGUAAUGACUGACAGAAUAAAUUGUUAGAGUAUAAGCAAUAUUAAUUCCAGCUAACUAGGACACUGCACGUCAAAUUUAAUUCCAGCUAACUAGCACACUUUAACAUGCAUAGGGCAUAAAUGUUUGUUCAUAAUCUAUGACAAUUCAGACUCAAAUGAUUGAAAUAUAUCAACGUCAACUAGAAUUACACUUUUAUUAGUUCUACAGGAGCCAUAUGCACAAUAGUCAUCUUCAACAAUAUUUUCUGUUACUUAUUCUUAAGAAUAAACUCCUACUAACUGUCAUAAACCACAAUGUAAAACUACGAAUGUCUAGAACAUGAUAACACCAAUCCAACACCCAGCUCAUCCUGUAGACUUCAGUACUAAAAGGAAAUAAACACAUUCUCGCACUAGCAUAUGCAAGAAAGCCAUAUCCAUGAACACACAAACCCAGAUGCAGAAAAAUACUUAGUGGAGACUAACCUCAAUCCAUUUCUUUCGAAACUCUUCACCACAUGGUUUUUGCUCAGGAAAGGGGCCAGGUUUACUUAAAAGUGAACCUGAAAGAGGCACACCAUAAACUUGGCCCGCCUGCAAAAAUAGGAGCAUUUAUCCAUUUUAUGCUUUCAAAAUACUUUAUUACAACAAUCACAACAAUUUCCAUAAUCGUCCUGAUAAGUAAUAAGUAGACAGGCUAAACCACCAACAAGUAAACAUUAAUUCAAAAAAGAUAGAGAUGGACAAUUUUCCCACAUUUCAGGAGACAUGCAGGACAGGUUUUUAUUUUAGCCAAGAUCAAUAUAAUCAGCUCAUCCAUCAAAAAGUCAGGAGGAAAAACAGCAUCACCUUUCGUUUUUGUGCACGGGACUCAUUAAUAGCCCUGUGACAUUUUCUUAUUGACUGCAAAAGAGCACAGAAACAAAGAGAGACGGUAUCAGGCAAGCAUUACUUCCAAGUCUAAUGAAUACCAAGCCUACAAAUGUGUAGCUCGUUGAAAAUAAAAGGGGAGACCGGUGACACCAUUAAACACAGAACAAUUACCUCCUUGCACUUGAGGAUGACUGGCUUUGUAAAAGUCUGAAUUUGUGAUAAUGAAGUCUCUCUAUUUUCCUGGAAACAUUAGUGAAGACAUAUCCCUACUGAGGUACCAACUCCAAUAAAAGAAAAAAUAAAGAUUGCAAUAAUCAUAUCCAUACAACCAUAAAAUUCUAAAUAGAAGACACCCAAAAAGUUACCUCAAUCCCUUCAACCGUCUCCCUAUAACCAGACUGCACAUAGUCCCUGGUCAACGUCUCCUCAGGACAAGUAGGAGUCUGGAGGUGAAAGUCAGGCAGCCCGAGUCUGUCAAAUGGUACCCAAUUAAUAAAUUAACACUGGUUGUCAUUGAUGAUGAUGGUACAUAUAGAAACAAUCUCAGAUGAAAGGACAAAAGAUCUACAGUGGGCAAUCAUAAUUUCAACAGAAAUUACCUGGAAUUCAAUGGUUCUUUAUCACACCUCAGUUUAUAUGGAGUUAAAGGUAACGGUCGCCUGAAGGAGCAAUAUUAAAAUCAUUAAGCAUGUCAGCAGUAUUUUAAUUGGAAAAACUAACCCAUUUAUCUCUUAGGAGCAAAAUAAAUAGGGGAAACUAAAAACCCUAAUUCAGUUACAGUAUAAUUGAAAUAGCAGAAUGAAGCUAAACAAUUAGAGAAUAAAAUAUAUUAUCUUGAAAUCUGUUUUAACAUUGAGAGAGAUGGGUUCUCUAGAUAUGUGCCAAAUGCAACCACUUGAAAAAAGUUAAUCAGACACAUUACCCCAAGUCAAUGACUACAGAAGAGUAAGUCAGCAAGACUAAUCUGGAAAUUAUACAGGAUUUUGCACACUAACAUCCAACUAAAGGCAUUUCCCAUACAAGAAAGCGAGCUGCUAACUUAUAUAGAGAAUUAUUAAUAUGCUAUGACUAUGAAGCCAAUUUCUGCAGAUAUGAAAGAACCAUAGGACAAGAUGCCUCGAGUUAAGAAGACAAAAGAGCAAGGGAGCAAGAUUUUUAAAGAAAUAGUCGUGGACCAAAAUAAUUCCAACUAGAGGCUACUUGCCAUACCCGCAACCAUCAUCAAAAUUUUAUACACUUCUUUUAAAGGAAUCAAAAAGAAAGAAAACAUCACCACGAUAACAGUAACAUGAUUAAGAUAUUUGAACAGCUCAAUCACAAGCAAUAAUGAGUUCCAAAGCACUACAAACUGAAACUUCUUAUCAUCACGUUACCAGCAGACAACAAUGUUGAUUCAUCAGGACUCCGAGAUAACAACGUUGAUUCAUCAGUUCUUUACAAAUCAUAGUAGCAAUCUAUUCAAAUCGGUGCAAUUUUAAUUUUAAACCAAGCCUAAAAUUUUUUUAAUUACCCCAUUUUAAAAAAAGGCUAAGUACAGUAAAUAUCCUUAAACCAGGUGUAUGUGAUAUAAUUAGUUUUCACUUAUGUGACUGCUUCUACCUCUCCUUUGCUUUAAUCACCAUACAAUUAAAUAAAGAAAUUUCAAGCACCCUUACAAGAUACAUUUUUCUAAGCGAAACCCUUUCCUUUUGUUUCUCAUCCCUCUUGAAACAGAACAUUAGACUUUCAUUUCCAUUCUAAGUCAAAACACAACGAGUGAGUAUUACAAUCUUCUCUUUUCCAUUGCUUUCUUUCCAGUGAGUGGAAUUUUGUCCUCUCCUUUCUUUUUUCUUAAACCCAGACAUACCCCAAAGGAAAUCCCAUAAAAUAUGACUACAUUAAAAUUCCAAUUGCAGAUUUAACAUGAAUAACCACUGCAACAGCUGGAUACUCAUAAUCGUUUUCACUUUAAUUAAUCCUCCAAAAGUACAUUUUGAUCAGAUCUGAACUAGUGAAUUGAAUACCCAAAGUCAUGCCUCAAAUAGGAUAAAUUAUAGCAUUUCUUAACCAUCCAAGUUAACAUGAACUAUUGAUUCAGAAAUCUUUGGUCGUAAAUAUCUUUCCAGUUCCAGCUUCUCAUUGUUUCCAUCUAAAAAUCACUAAAGCUCAAAAUCAUCCUAACCAGAAGAUGAUAGAAAACCAUUAUUGAUCAAACAGCAACAAAUUCUUUACUGAGAAUGAAAUGAUAAACUGGAUAUCAGAACAUUUCGACAUAGUAGCAUGCACUACUGCAUGUUGGACAUAACUACAUGAUAAUAUAAUAUGUAAUGAUCCCAAAAGUUUUAAAAGAAAAGAAAAAUUAUCAUUGGUUAAGCUUCUAUAUGCUUUGUGUGUAUCAAGCAUUUGCAAUGAAGCAAGUAUAAACAAGCAUGAAUUGCAUUUAACAUGCUUGAGCAAAAAAUUAAGAGCCCGUUUGGAUUGCUAUUUGUUGGAAUUUUUGUUAAAAAAAUAUAUCGUACCGAUUUGAUGCAUGUGAGGUAAAAAGGUGAUUGAAAACUGUGUUCACAAAAAAUGUAAAAAUCUUUCAGGAAAAAAUGGCAAUCCAAACAAGACAUAAGAUUCUUGUACCUAGAAUUCAAAGAAAAGUUUGACGGAAUGGAAGAUGACUCAGCUCGGGAAACAUCCCUAGCAGAUCCUCCAAUGGCAGUGUUAUUGACUGCACUAGUGCAGCUGGCAGCAUGAUACCUUUGCAUGUCUCCCAGCUAUCAUCUGCAUGCUGCCUUCAGCAUUGAACCUCAGCAGGGUUUAUGCUGGUCAAACUGCAAUAAAGAGCAUGAAGGAUAAAAAAAAAUUAUAAACAAUCAUAAUUAUAUUAGCCAUAGAAUUUAGCAUUAAAGAGCAGUUAUAAAUGACACAAAAUGUAUUUUAGGGCACAGAAGUCAGAAGAACAGCCAGACCGAAAAGACAAUUCAACAGAAGUUCCAUCUCAACAAUUUAAACAACAUAGGGUCAAAUUUGUCGGUUGCGAUAAGUAUUAGCACUUUAGACAUUAAAUAGUGCAAUACAGAAUUGAUUUUUCUAAGACUGAAGAAUUUGAUUUCCCAUGGUAAGAGGUCAUCAAAGAAAGGAAAAAAGGAAUUGCAAAUAACUGAUUAAGAGAAAAUUAGAGGCUAAACAAUUAGAAAUUGUCAUUAAUUGCUUAGACGGACAUGACAACAAUUUGUAACUACGCGACAAUUUAAAACUAAUGCAAAUUUCUCCAGAACCUUAAAGCCACUAUUCUUCGUUGCAAAAAGUAUGGUAAAGCUUGAACACAAUAUAGGAGGAUAAAUACAACAGUGUUCAAGAUUAAAAGCCGGAUUUGAAACCCUAGAGAACCUCGCACAAGUGACAGAAUAACUUUGGACACUGAGAAUGAUAGGUCAAUCACACAAUGAAGCUACUCCAAUUAAUCUUUGGGUGUCAUUGACAUAUGACACCCAAAGAAAUGUACGAAUUGAUUCUUUACCCACACUCAGAAGUUGAGCGCUUUAACAUUUAAAUGACAUUACUACUAUUGUGUCUCAGAGUCAUUUAUUGAUCCUAGCAACUGAGCCACUAUAAAAUUGCAUUGUACCAUCACAAAACGUUCAAGUUUUAAUCACGUAAUGAAUCCAACAAGACCUUUGCAAGAAGUGAGCCCACAACAUUUCAUAACCAUCUAAAACAAAAAAGAACAGCCCCACCCUCGACCCCACCCACGAGGAAGUAGAACAACUCACGAACCUGACCUUCCUUUAGCAUAAAAAUCAAGGCUUCCUUUCACUUUUAAAGAGAAGACCACGUGGAGUUCAAGCUAACUAGGGCAUACAAAAGUCCUCUACUUAAAAAUCACACAGAUUCAUCGGAUGAGUGAGUGCCAUAGUCCAGCUUUCCACCCUAUAAUAAACUCUUAAACGCACCCAAAACUAGCUAGAAAAACAAAUUCACCCUUCUUCACAGUCGAAGACAACGUAUCGAAAACUCCAAUGCAGGUCCAAUCGCUUCCACUGGCAAAGCAAAACACACAUUUUUCUAUAAAGACUCUCCAUCUGUUUAGUUGGCACAAAGUUCCAAAACUAAAUCCCAUCUACGGCUAAACAGCUACACUACCACAUAUACUACUCAAAAGCAUUCUGAUCCAAGAAAAUUCAAGAAAAGAAAAAAGACCCAAAAAAAAGAAUUCCGGGCAACCACAGCUGAAAUGUGUAAGAACCAAUCUAAACCCCCCCCCCCCCCAAAUCAAAUCAACCACAUUCAAUUUUGCAAAUUUCCAAAUCCCACUGAAUCCAAUUAUACACAACUGCAUAAACUGAAAGGAACAGACGGAAAAGCAGAAAACGUAAGAACAACUUAACCUAAAUUUCUUAGAUUACCUCAGAAAGUACAUUAAGAAAAAAAUAGAAACUACCGAAUAUCUCAAGCCGAAUGGUUGUUUCGAUUGUAAAGUUGAAACGAGCUGAAACAAAUUCCAAUCACUAGGGUUCAAGAGGAGGUUUUUCAAGAUUAGGGUUUUCACUAAUUGAAGAAAGAAAGAGAAAGAAACUGGUAGAAUGGGAGAGGAGAGAGAAAAUAAGUAGAAAUUCAAUGGAAAUCAGAAGGCGAUUGGGAGAUUUACUGAAUUAGGAUUGAAAUAUCGAGCGAU